CCUACGGGAGGCUGCAGUGAGGAAUAUUGGUCAAUGGCCGGAAGGCUGAACCAGCCAAGCCGCGUGAAGGACGAAGGUGCCAAGCAUUGUAAACUUCUUUUGUCAAGGGACAAAAUCAGGCUCGAGAGCCUGACCGAGGGUACUUGAAGAAAAAGCAUCGGCUAACUCCGUGCCAGCAGCCGAGGUACUACGGGGGAUGCGGGCGUUAUCCGGAUUUAUUGGGUUUAAAGGGUGCGUAGGCGGACUGUUAAGUCAGCGGUAAAAGCCCGGGGCUAAACCCCGGCGAGCCGUUGAAACUGGCUGGCUUGAGAGGUCGAGAGGUGUGCGGAAUGCGCAGUGUAGCGGUGAAAUGCGUAGAGAUGGCGAAGAACUCCGAUUGCGAAGGCAGCAUACCGGCGGCGAUCUGACGCUGAGGCACGAAAGCGUGGGUAUCGAACAGGAUUAGAUACCCCUGUAGUC
RNAcentral lists this ribosomal RNA (459 nucleotides) under uncultured bacterium. RNAcentral describes it as "partial 16S ribosomal RNA". It matches the Rfam family "Bacterial small subunit ribosomal RNA", at positions 338 to 795 of the family's 1533-position model. The record is from RNAcentral.